This is a non-coding RNA of Pimephales promelas (fathead minnow), 277 nucleotides long. NCBI's taxonomy places the organism in Eukaryota, Metazoa, Chordata, Actinopteri, Cypriniformes, Leuciscidae. The record is from RefSeq and is a predicted model, not a curated record.
CAUCAUUUGAUAAUAACUUUUAAAACACAUUUUUUGUGGUAUAGAUGCAGUGACUGAGACUGGGAGAUGCAGUGACGGAAACCUGGUGUGUUCCAGAAAAAGGUCCUGAAACUACUGGUCGACAUCCGCCAUCGCCUGAAGGAAACCAGAAGGGGUCGUGAAAUUCGGUUCCACAGCCACUGAGGUGUAUGUACAUCAAGGUGAACCUCAAGCACGCGUCGCAAAGACUUAAAUUCACUUCGCCCUGAUGAGCCCAAGCCUACAGGACUUGAAUUAA